AUCAAAUAUAUAUAAUGGUGUUGAGAAAUCCAGAUAACUUCAGUUCCUUUGGCUCAAGUUGUCCAAGACCGUGGACAGGGCUAAUCGAUUAGGUUUGAGUACUCUGCAGAGUUUUGCACACGUUCCCCACAAGAUUUGAUCGCCUCCGUGUAUGUCCUCGCACUUCAGGGUGUUUGAAGACCGGAUGAUCAAAACAUGGUCUUUCAAC
RNAcentral lists this long non-coding RNA (208 nucleotides) under Hordeum vulgare. RNAcentral's name for it is "long non-coding RNA (HVUL_LNC015266)". Lineage: Eukaryota; Viridiplantae; Streptophyta; Magnoliopsida; Poales; Poaceae. The record is from RNAcentral.